Non-coding RNA from Meleagris gallopavo (turkey), 9584 nucleotides. The record is from RefSeq and is a predicted model, not a curated record. NCBI's taxonomy places the organism in Eukaryota, Metazoa, Chordata, Aves, Galliformes, Phasianidae.
CUCGCAUUUAUCUCCUGACGUCUCAACCGCGGCACCGUUACUGUGUCCGUCUCGCUUUCUCCGCCUGGCUCCUAAAUAAAGGCGCCUUGGAGUCCAAACUGUCUCGGAAUCCUUUCUGAGCGAUACGAAAUAACCCCUCCCAGCCCUGCUUUUCGCUCCUAAGUUGUCAAACUCUUUGUUGCUCUGCCCUGCUGCCCGCGCGUACCGCAGCGUUCGGCACUCGGGAGCCGGCGGCGGUGCGGGUGCAGCCGGGGGCGUGCAGCCCUCCUUUGUGCCGGCGAACACCGCCUCGUUGCUCAGCCGAGGGGAAGGCAGAGCGCCGCUUCCAGUACUCGCAUGCGGUUUUUCCCGCAGCGUGCGUGGCUGCGGUCGGGUCGUUGCCGUGUCUUUUCAUUUGGACAGCUCAGAUCUUCUUAACGAAAGCGGGAACGGUGCACCUAACCCACGGACUCGUGUGGGUCUUGUGAUCGAGCUGGGAAAAGAUCAGCCCCGUUUCCAGGGAUUACCGCGUCGAAGGCUGGGAGGUGGGACAGGCGCUGCCUCCGGCUCCCGUGCAGCCCCCCAUAUUUCCCCAGCCCGAUGCGUGUGGUUAUUUCCUCGGCACAGCAGCUGCUGACCCCGGGUUGCAAUGUGGCAGAGCCCAGGGAGGCUGAGCCCCCACCGGGGAGGCGAGCGGCCCUGCCCUGCUGUAGGGGCAGCAGGGGGAGGCUGUGAUCUGGUGACGUCAGGGAGAAGAACGAGACGUUGUGUUUUCAGGACCUAAAAAUGACGUUUUGCUGUCGGGUGGUCUCUCAUCAUUUUCAGCCUGCAAAGUUAUUGUCGGUAACGUUGGCCUUCCCCUCCAGCAGUUAUCUGUGCUGUGAUUGUUGAGGGCAGGUGCGUGGUCUGGGGAAGAGCUUAGGCAGGGAAAAGCAUGUUGGCUUUCAUUAAAUGGGGAAAAAGAUGUAUUUUGGUACCUAUAGCUUAGAUUAUCUUGCAGCAAGAGCGCAGCAGUGGCCAUUGCUGUCUGUGUGCUUCUUAAGAGCAAGCAAUGGGCACGUGAGAAGACAGACCGAUGAUGUAUGCUGUUCUGUUUCAUUCAGCUUUUGGCAAAGACGUUGGCCGUGGCUGAGUGAAUGCAAGCACUGAGUUUUACAAACCCCUGAUUGCCUCAGUAUGCCUCUAGAAUGGGAAAUCAGAAGGAAAAGAUUGCACAAAUGGUAGAACGGCUCGAGUUGGAAGGAAUGGAACAGCACAAAGCGUGACAUUCCGUGCUAUGCUCACUGCUGGCAGGUCUGGGAGCUCAGCUUGCCAUCACCCCUUGUGUUGUGAACUGCCCCUUUGCUUCCCAUGGAGCAAAAAUAAAAUAGGAGAGCAAACAAAAUCCUGUCUUUCCGUGUUGGCCAACAGCAUUCUCUCUUUCAAGCAGACAAAACUGGACAAAUUAAAGUGACUCACAGAUGAAUCUCAGAGGAUGCUUUUUCCUACAAACGUGCCUUUGUGGCUGCAGUGAAGUUGUUGGAGUGCCGGGCCUCUGUUUGUCCACUAAUUGCAAUGUGGAUUUGCUGUUGUGUGCAUCCCUGAAGCUCCUGCAGAAGGAGGGGAGCGUGGCUCAGCCUGCUCUCAUGUGCCAGUGUGAUGGAGGCCUGCCUUUACACUUGGCAGAUGGCAAUUCUCUGCUGGUUUCUCCAUCCUGAAUUUGUUUAUCCGAGCGCAGAAAGCUCUUUACUGAACUCUUUAAUCGGCACGCUGUCUUUUUUCUUUCAUGUUUUCUCAUCUAUUUGACUUCCCUCCUCUCCAAAGGGGACCUUGGGCUCUGCCUGCUUCUGUCUUUGGACAGGGGCAGCAGGUUGAGAAGUUCUAAAGCCUGUUUUCCCCCCGUGAAAAAUGUACAGGUAGGCGAGGGUGGCUGGCAGGAUGAGAAAGGGGAAGGCGUUCUGCAUUGGUGGCUUUUUCUUUUGACCACUUGAUGCAUGGCACAGGAUCACGUGCUGCCAGCUGGUGAGUCAUGGGAGGAAGGGGGCAGAGCAGCCAUGGUCAGCCGGAACGUAGGAAUGGGUUGUGUCACUGGGAUGGGGAUCAUCCAGCAGUGGCUUAGCUGGGAAAACAAUUCUGCAAGUGACCUUUGUUGAGACCUCUGGAACGAGACCUUUGGGAGAUGCCUGAGCUGCCUGUUUGCUGGCCGCCUGUGACACCUUGCGAUAAACAGACGUGUCCUUUAGACCCUCUGUUUGCUUAGCAGUGUGUUACAACAGCGCUGAGCUGCUCCUUGCUGAGCUUGUGGUUUUCCCUGUGAGGGCGUCGGGGUGGUGGUGGUUCAGGCUGUGCUGACCCAGGGCAGGAAGGGGCAGAGCGUGGAGCGUGGGGCUGUGGGAUGUGUUGGGUGAUGGGCAGCAGGCCUCGAGGACCCCAGUGACUGGUGUGCAUUACAUUUCUGUAGGUUCACAAGGCAGCAAAUGAGCUCUAAUUCUCACAGCAGGUGUGUGUGUGUGAAGCCUGCUCGUGUUCUUUGUGUAUGUAGGGAUGCUUGCCUUCAUCGAGUGACGUGCUAUAAGUGAAUAACUGCAGGACAAAUGGGUCUUGCCCCUUUACUUCUAGUUCCCAAACUGGUUCAGGUUACUCCAUCAGCCUCCAAACCCCACCUCAGGUUAUUUGGUGCUGUGUUGCCCUUGAGAUCCCUCCUUGGGAGAAGGCAAUCACUCGUGUUUCCUAAUCUGGUCCGUCACCCUGUCUUCAGCUUUUAGAAUACGUGUGUGUUCCUGUACUGCUGUAUAACAGUGAUAGAUCCCCGAGGCUUCUUUAUCUCUGUUUGCCUUGACAAGCUCCUUUCUCUGUCACGCCACAGGUUUUCUAACAAACCUCGAGCAUCCUACCAACCUGGAAGCCUUUUUCUGAAAGAGUACGUUCUAAAAUACGGUUGGAAUAACAACAGCAGAUUAGUAAUACAACAAGCUUUAGAUGAAGGGGUCAAUAAAUGAGAACAUGUGUUUCUUUUGCUAGCAGAAAUAUGUGUAAUAGCAUUACCAACACGUCCCAUAGCUUUGUGUGUCAGUCUGGAGGAAUCAAAGGACUUUAAUUGCUUUUGUUUUCAAGCAAGCGUAUCAAAACGUAAUUUUUAUUUGAUUCUGACUGCAUUCUUUGUUCUGCCCCUCCAGGCUUUAAAAGAGAUGCUGUAUGCAGCCGUGGACCAGGCCCCUUCUAUAGAAGGUAAGCACGUGCUCGCUGAGAAUUGUGUUUUUCUUGGCAUUGGAUACUGGACGUGCAGUAGUGUUAUUUUUCUGUCCUCAGUCCUCCUAAAUUGGUCAAGUCAAUACACUGAUGGGCAAACGCUCGGCCUUCCGCAGCCUGCGUGCUAUUUGGGAUUGUUGGAACUCUUUGUCCUCUGUCAUCAGCACAGUAAAUGGCUUUGUAUAGCUUGGGACUUCAGCAGCUGGAUUCCUCUCGCUUAUAAGGACAUUCACUGGUGGAAGUACUACUUCAUCACUGGAGAAUAGCCUCUUGUUUUCCUAUGGCAGCCCUGGGAGAUAGCUGUGCUGGAGAGUCACCGGUUGGUGAGCAGUGAUGUGAGGCUCUCAUCCUUUUGUCCUGGGUGCUCCCUGAGUGCUGUGCCACCUCUUGGAUGCUGAUAUGAGUAUAUUUUCUUGUUUUCAUAUGUUUAUUGCCACUGCAUUCUCUAGGUAGGUUAUUUUAGCACAGCAUUUGCUUUUAAGCUCGCUGCGUUUUGAGUAGCCUUAUGUGAUGUGUGCAAAAGUUCUCAGUAGAACCCUGUAUCUUUCUCUCUCUCCUUUAGUUGUCUUGGAGGUACUGAAUAGUUUUUGCCUUGAUCUUGCUUUGGUCCUUUGUGUGGAUUUCAAACUCCGUGCUUCUAGCAGUUCGAUUGCAGAGAAUUGUCAGUGUCACUGAUCUCUCUGAAUGCAGCUCUUAGAUUCUUCCUUGUGUGUGUGCAGAGCAGAACUGCUGCUUCUAGGGCAGUCUGCUGGCUGGUGUCAGUAAUGCCAGCCAUCAUUAAUGCUAGUUCAUUAGCAACUCACACCCUCUUCUCCAAACUGUGGGUCCUAGAAGUGCAUUUCUACAGGUGAGUGGCCACGCUCCUGGCAUCACCUAAAAUUGAUGGGCUGCUUUUGGGAAAUGGAAUCAAGCUUGGAAGCAAUAUACUGGCAAAAGAGGAAAGUCCUGCUUCUUAGAGAUGCAAAAACUGCUUUAAAACCCCCACAGGCCUGGAGGAUCCUUCUCCCAGAUAGCAGUUUUCUCUCCCAAGAAGCAGUUUUCUGUCUUAGAGGAACCACAGUGUUUUGUAUGGGCUGCACAGAUGAUCUUUACUAACUUGUCUUUAGAGGUAAUUAGCUGGUUUUUUUUGAGAAAAUGUGUUUCCUUUGUCUUAACACCAGUGCGUGACUUAAGGUUUGUCUUAAAAUGGAUGGGGCUGCAGAUCCUUUGCAUUUUAGUUCCUCAGUUUUGUUUUGGGAAGGUGUAAGGACGACACUAUGAGAAGCUGGCCAUAAAACUCCUGAGUGGUAUUCUGCAUUUUGGCUGCUUUUUUUUUUUCCUGUGCUCAUUGUGAUAUAGUGAUGUUCUGUAUGUGCUGCAAUGUUUACGUGUAAACAUACUUAGGAAAGGAAGGGAAAGUGAAGAAUGAAAUGGUAUAAUAUAAUAUUAAUGUUGCUCUUUUGAAUGUUAAAAGAACGUAAACUUGUGUUUCUGCCUCCUUUGAUGCCUUUGAAACCUCAUCAAAAAGGGAAGUAAUGACUUAAGGUUGUGCUAGCUACAAAAAGCAUCUUCUUGUUAUUUGGAGAGCAAGUCUCUCCCUCUGUGUUGCAGAGAACAAAGCGAUGCAAACUGUUUGGAACUGCUCAGAUUUGUCACUCUUUUGCCCAAACUGCCUCUAAGAAGAGAGCAGCUGUGCUAAUUCCUGCACCGCUUGUUAGUUCAGUGCUAUGUGAGCGUGUGCUGGGUUUCUUUCUUAAUUAGUUUGUUUCCAGUAUGUUAUUUCCCUCCUGGUUUUUUUGUUUUGUUUUGUUUUGUUUCCUCUGCUGUGAAUCUGUUUUGCUCAUUCUCCAGCUCUCUGAAAUGCAUGUGUGGCUUUGAGCUUAGCACAGGAACACCAGGAGGGUGCUGUAAGCCCCAUCUUCCCAGGGUGAGGCUGGUGUAAAUCUCGUUUUAGGCUGGUUUAACUAAAAGCCACUUGAUGUAGGUGAUGCCAGGCGCUGCAGCCGUGUUCAGCUGGGCUUUGGCUUGCCUUAAGGUACACUGGAGCUAAUCUUCAGCUAGUAGCUGGGCUGUGAAAUAAAGGGAGGUCUGUCUCUUGGCUGGCUCUGGGCUCGUGUUAAGGAAUCUGCUUACGGUUGGCACGUGGGUAAACAAAGCUGGCUUCAAAAUGACUCAUAAGCUGUGCAAACGGUGCUGCUGCUGCUAUUUUAGGGAGAAAAGUUUGCUAGGGGGAUGAUUGUGGAUGUAAGUUGUGGGGUCGCCUACCAGCACGUUUACCUGCUCUACUGGUGACCAUAGAAUCCUUAGAGCUGGAAGGCACCUCUGAGGGCCAUCCAGUGCAGCUCCCCUGCAGUGAGCACUGAGCAGAUGUGCUGGCAUCUCCCCCAGCUCCUCAGGGUUCAGCUCUUUGCAGCCAUAGAGGAGAUGGAAGCCUGGCUGUGAAUUAUUCAUCCUGAUUAUGCGCUCCAAUGGACAUGGUCUACUCUGAAUAUUAUUGCCUAGAAUAUUAGUCUUUCAGAUAUUGAAAUUUAACCUCCCUUUAAGACUUGUGUAAACAGAUCUUGUUGUUGUCGCAUUAAAUGGCACAAAAGCAGUAUCCUCCUCUUACGGAGAUGACUUAUUCCACUUGACCCCCAGCUGCAUUCCAGUGGUAGGCUGGAACAAGGAUUAGACCGAGUGGGGAGUAGGAAUGCUUCAAGACUGAACUCAAAACCAAAAUUAAUAGGUGACUUUCAUUACAGCUUGAUUGACAGGGGAAAAGCUUAGCAGCAGUGCUGGUGCUUGCGCUGUGCAAAUUCACCUCUUUGCUUGUUCCAGAUGAGAGGUGUGAGAUUGGGACCUUCUCAGCAUGCCCUGCUUGGUGAUAUAAACUUACUUCAUAGCAGGCUGGCGGUGCCAGAGCACAGAGCGCUCAGGCUGUGGUGCAGAUCUGCCUUGGCUGAACUGGUCCGCUCAGGUUCUUGCUCCCAGGUGCUUGUUUCCACAGCUGGGCUAAUGAAAGGGCUGUGCACAGCUUGGGAGGCAGCAUGAAGGCUGGGUUGGGCACUGCACACCAGCUCCAAGGAAAGGGCUGCACCUGAAGGCAGGUUUCUUUUGCAGGUCUGCAAGCUGCUUAUCAGGCUGGCUGUGCAAAGGCUGUAAAUCCCUCCUUAAUGGCAAGGGGUGACAGCAACAUCAGAAAUGCUUUUUUUUCCCUCCCUUCCUGCUCUUGCUUUCUGAUAAUAUAAAAAGGCCAGUGCGUCAAUUUAACUGGUAGGUACUAGGUUUCAUGUUGGUGGUUAAAACGCGAGGGCUGGGAAAUAGAAAAGGAGUUCAUAAAGCUGGAAGAUGGACAGCCAGCUGUGCUCGCAGUGCAGCAGAACAUCAAACAGUGCUUUGGGUGUAGCCUAGAGAAACACCACACGUGUGCGGAUAGGAGGUCAGAAUUUAUUGUUGGGCUUUGGAAAAGGCUGCAGCAGGAGGAGUAACAGCAAGAUUUACAGUGUGUGUAGGAGGCAGCCUCGGGGUUUGUAGCCAUUGCAUUCGAAACAAGCGAUUAGGCUUUGGGAUGAGGCUGUGGCUAUUUGGUGAAUAAUGCCAUGUGAAUUAAACCCGAUGAGUUUCUGUCUCUUUAAAAAGGCACGCUGUGAGCAGGCUCUCCCUGGAAGGAAAUCUCAUUCUUCUGCAUCAGAAUCACUUGUAAGAUGCUUCAGAACGAUGGUCAGGGCCUGCCAGGAGCUUCAGCAUCCCUGCGAUGCCAUGUAGGAGGAGCAGGGGCUGCCAGUACAGCUCCUCUGCUUUGUUACCUAGGCUGAAGAAUGCCUGGAGGUCUGUAGCUGUAAGGCAGCAGUGAGGCAGAGCUGUGUACGUUCAGCUAAAAGCUGCAGAGAACACUGAGAAUGCACCAAUCCGCUGGCAUGCACGGUGGGUGCUGUGUGCAGGAGCGUGAGCAGCAGCACAGCCCAUCCUGCAGCUCCAGCCCCGGGCUGUGCGCUGCCCUUGCUGCAGAGGAGAGAGCCUUGUUUAUCUCCUAGGAGAUGGAAAAGCAAUUUCUACUUCCUGAUGAGAAGCUGACAGGCUAUUUGACUUAACAAGAGGGGCCGCCGGUGUGAUUGGGAAGAGGAAAAUUGCAUGCCAUAACAUAGUGAUAGAAAUGCAAUUUAUUUUGCAUGUGCUAUAUAGCUUCAGGCACGCAUUUUGGAGGGGUGAGAAUUCUACACGUGCUGAAAUGCCAGUUCUAAAUAGCAGCAAGAAGUGAAUUUGGCUUCCAGGCUGUGUCUGCAAUCUUGGUCUUAUUGCUCCCGCUGUUGAUUAGCGUGCUUUUAUAAACACUGCCAAUGUGAUUAGCGUGCCUUUAUAAACAUUCCCAAGGUGUGUGUGGGGUGAGGGAACCUGGAGCCCUCUGGCGAGCCGAGUGAGCGAGCUGUGACCUCAGGACUGCCUUGUCCCAUGGCUGCAGGCGUGCCCUGAUGUGUGGCCAGGAUGGCUGUCCUGGUGCCACCACUGCCCAUCCGUGUCCCCAUGCUGAGCCCAGGUGUGCUUCUGAACGGCUGCUCCCUGUGAGCACAGCUGUAGCAGUGACUCACAGGCAAGGCAGCUGAGUGGGGUAAUAAUGAGCAGGAUUGGCUGAUACACCUAUAAAGCAAAUUCUAUAAAUAGCUGAAAGGGAUUGGGCCAAUACUGCUGUGUUUUGGUGUGACUUUGGCUUCCAUCAUCAGCGAUAGCAGUGAAAAGGCAAGGAAGUAACCAAUCUGAGAACCCCAUAUGGCAUUCUGCCUUUCUUGGAGCCUUGCUCAUGCCAGAUUUCCUUGAACUCCACGGCAAUCCAAGACAAAGGUUUCAUUUCCCCCCACCCAGUUACAGGGUAAUGCAUUUCUCUGUUAGCAGCUGGGUCAGGACUUGGUUCUGCACUGACCUUGAUGAGCACAGGUGCAAGAAAAUGUUUCUUGGAGGCUGUGUGUCCUUUUAAAGCCUUUAAGAGGCUGUAAUUAAUGGAGUUGCCUAGAGACAAGAAGGCUUCCCGGGGAGGAGAAAGGAGACCUUCCCAGGGAGGAUAAAGAAGGAGCAUCUUUUGGCUGAGCUGGAGGUUAGAUGCUAAAAUAUGGAGCCGGAAGAAAGCAAAGCAGGAUGCCAAGCUUGAAGCAUUUGCCACACCUGAUGGGAUGCAUCUGCUGUAAUAAUCCUGGUUGCAGGACAACUGCUCUUUCUGAUGUCACCUUGGUGAAGCCCCAGAAGGCGUGAAGCAGCAGGAGGGAUGGCGAGGGGUCCCGCGUCCCUCUGCCUGUGCGUAGCUGUCUGCUCUGAGCCAUUCUGUGAGCAGACCUUGCCAGGCUGCUUCGGGGUCUGCUUUGUGGCCACGCGCGGCCCUGUUUUUCCCCAGCCUGCUGCCUUUGGCCCUGGAGCUCCCGACCUCUGAAGGCAGAAGUUGUGUUUGCUGCUGUCGGCGUUCAGUAAGGCUUGAGCUGGAGUCCCAAAGGCUCCAGGGGCACCGAGUGUCUCCAGUUUUAGAAAUCCGGCUGCAGCUCAGUCAGAAUUGAUCCGUGCUGAUUUCCCUUUCGGUUCCUCCUGCUCGCAGCUGGCUCCUGCGGGUUUUGUUCCGCCUUUGUUCCCAGCUGAUGGAGCUGGUUGGUGCACGCUCAUGCUAAUGGAGCCGCUCGCCUUCCGGCUGGGGAGGAAUUCAGCGUUGGGAGGUGUGUGAUCUGGGCUUGGACUUGCCUAAGCACAAAUUCGAGUAAUGAAUUAGUCAUCAGCCAUGGAUUUCAUGGCCCUGGGGACACGGAUCCUGCGGCUGGUGCAGCCCAGCUGUCAGUCAGGAGCUGCUGAUGCAGGAACUUCUCGCAGCCUGAGAAGGUUCCCCCAGCCCUGCUAAUAUGGGGAAGGGAGGUUGCCAGAGCCUCGAGCUGGUAUUUCAGUAGCAGCGUGCCUGCUUUACAGCGUGUCCUUCAAGGCUUCGGCCUCUUCACCUAACUCAAAUAAAAGUAUGCCUUAACAGGGUAAUUAGAAACCUAAGGCAGCACACCCAAAUUACAGUAGUUCUGCCAUCUUCUGCAUGCAAGGUAAUUUUACCUGUUUUGUGGUAAGCAGGACAUGGCAGGGGAUACUCCAUCCUCCAUCAGUUUCAGUAGUGAUCCCAUGGUUACUGAGGUAUAGGGGUGAUGUGGAGCGGGUCUGGGAAGAGAUGCUUCUACUCCUCUUUCUUGUCCUUGCCCACCACCUUGUUUUUUUCCCCCUUUUUGUUAGCAUUGCACUGUGGCGUGUGCCUUGUGGUGGCUGGCCUCAAGCAUGAUGAUUAUUCUGAGAGGUAUGCAAGCUUUAUUUACCAAGAAAUUAUGAGUUUGUGUGCUUUUUGUACAUAGCUGGAGCAGUCUCUCUGGGGACAAUUAGGCUAAUGUCGAUUUAUGCGUUUUCCCAUCAUAACU